Long non-coding RNA from Solanum pennellii, 876 nucleotides. RefSeq lists it as uncharacterized. The record is from RefSeq and is a predicted model, not a curated record. The transcript has 2 exons. Lineage: Eukaryota; Viridiplantae; Streptophyta; Magnoliopsida; Solanales; Solanaceae.
UUAUGCAUCUUUCACACUAGCUUUUCACCCUAAUAAAUUAUACCUCAAAGACUUACCUAGAUAGAUCCCCAAAGAUAAAGGGGUGCAUUCUUUCCAUUCACCCUUUUAUAUAUAUAUAUACACAUCCACUUCCUAUACUUAAUUUCAAGUACUUGUGUGUAUUCUUAUAAGUUCUAGAUCUAGGACAGAUGUGAAGAAUACUGGAUCGUGAACCACUAGCAGCUGAAGCUGCCAGCAUGAUCUAAACUUUUCUAUUGCUCCGUACGAGGAAAGAUCAGAUCAUGUGGCAGCAUCACCUGUUGAUGGUUUCGCGGAAUUUCUAUCUCCCUUCAUUCACCAAACUCCCAACUCUCAAUUCAAGUCAAGAUAGAAAAAGAAGAGGAAGAGCUAGCUGGGAUCUCUAAUUUGAUUGCUUAAGGUAAAAAUAUGGAUAUGAUUUGAGAUUAAUUAAUAUAUAUGUAGAUUAUUUUUUCUUCACAUGUCGACCAUAUAUAUAUAUACGUUGAAAAUAGUAAACUUUUAAGUCAUGUCUAGAUAAUAUGUCUUUUUGUUAUCCUAAAUGCAUGAUUUUUUGUGUUAUAUAUGAAGAUAACUUUUAUGGUACUAAUGUGAUUAGAUUCAAGUGUAUGUAUAAAUACUUCUAAUUUAUAGGUGUGAUUUCAAAAGACUAUUAGUACCUGUAAAAGGAUAUUAUGUAUUUGCUCUGUCCAACAAUAGUUGUUUACUAUUGACUUGACACACUUUAUUACUUUUAACUUUAUUAAAUUUUAUGCUUUGAGAAAUGUGUUAUAUGAAUAGACACAAAAAACAAUUAUCUCUUCAUUUUCUGAACUGAACAAGUGUUGUUGGACGGAGGGAGUAAGAGUGAAGUUUUUC